CAUAUACUCUCUCCGUCCGAAAAUACUUGUCGGAGGAAUGGAUGUAUCUCGACGUAUUUUAGUUCUAAAAUACGUCGAGAUACAUCCAUUCCUCCGACAAGUAUUUUCGGACCGAGGGAGUACUAG
Molecule: non-coding RNA, 126 nt
Organism: Triticum aestivum (bread wheat)
Lineage: Eukaryota; Viridiplantae; Streptophyta; Magnoliopsida; Poales; Poaceae
Source: Rfam